CGUAUAAGCUCAGUCGGUAGAGCAUGGUGCUAAUAACGCCAGGGUCCUGGGUUCGAGCCCCAGUAUG
Molecule: transfer RNA, 67 nt
Filed under: Aphanomyces astaci
Lineage: Eukaryota; Oomycota; Saprolegniomycetes; Saprolegniales; Verrucalvaceae
Rfam family: tRNA
About the family: Transfer RNA (tRNA) molecules are approximately 80 nucleotides in length. Their secondary structure includes four short double-helical elements and three loops (D, anti-codon, and T loops).
Source: Rfam by way of RNAcentral